RNAcentral lists this ribosomal RNA (497 nucleotides) under uncultured bacterium. RNAcentral's name for it is "partial 16S ribosomal RNA". It matches the Rfam family "Bacterial small subunit ribosomal RNA", at positions 28 to 507 of the family's 1533-position model. The record is from RNAcentral.
GAUGAACGCUGGCGGCGUGCCUAAUACAUGCAAGUCGAGCGAACAGACGAGGAGCUUGCUCCUCUGACGUUAGCGGCGGACGGGUGAGUAACACGUGGAUAACCUACCUAUAAGACUGGGAUAACUUCGGGAAACCGGAGCUAAUACCGGAUAAUAUAUUGAACCGCAUGGUUCAAUAGUGAAAGACGGUUUUGCUGGCACUUAUAGAUGGAUCCGCGCCGCAUUAGCUAGUUGAUAAGGUAACGGCUUACCAAGGCGACGAUGCGUAGCCGACCUGAGAGGGUGAUCGGCCACCCUGGAACUGAGACACGGUCCAGACUCCUACGGGACGCAGCAGUCGGCAAUCUUCCGCAAUGGGCGAAAACCUGACGGAGCAACGCCGAGUGAGUGAUGAAGGUCUUCGGAUCGUAAAACUCUGUUAUUAGGGAAGAACAAAUGUGUAAGUAACUAUGCACGUCUUGACGGUACCUAAUCAGAAAGCCACGGCUAACUACGUG